RNAcentral lists this ribosomal RNA (433 nucleotides) under uncultured bacterium. RNAcentral describes it as "bacterial SSU rRNA". It matches the Rfam family "Bacterial small subunit ribosomal RNA", at positions 335 to 784 of the family's 1533-position model. The record is from RNAcentral.
ACUCCUACGGGAGGCAGCAGUGGGGAAUAUUGGACAAUGGGCGAAAGCCUGAUCCAGCAAUGCCGCGUGAGUGAUGAAGGCCUUAGGGUUGUAAAGCUCUUUUACCCGGGUAUGAUAAUGACAGUACCGGGAGAAUAAGCUCCGGCUAACUCCGUGCCAGCAGCCGCGGUAAUACGGAGGGAGCUAGCGUUAUUCGGAAUUACUGGGCGUAAAGCGCACGUAGGCGGCUUUGUAAGUUAGAGGUGAAAGCCUGGAGCUCAACUCCAGAAUUGCCUUUAAGACUGCAUCGCUUGAAUCCAGGAGAGGUGAGUGGAAUUCCGAGUGUAGAGGUGAAAUUCGUAGAUAUUCGGAAGAACACCAGUGGCGAAGGCGGCUCACUGGACUGGUAUUGACGCUGAGGUGCGAAAGCGUGGGGAGCAAACAGGAUUAGAUA